GAGUUUGAUCGUGGCUCAGAACGAACGUUAGCGGCGCGCCUAAGACAUGCAAGUCGAGCGAGAAAGGGCUUCGGCCCCGGUAAAGCGGCGCACGGGUGAGUAACACGUAGGUCAUCAACCCUCGAGUGGUGGAUAACCCUCCGAAAGGAGGGCUAAUACAGCAUGAUGCUAGCAAUAGCCAAAGCGAGCCUCUUCGUGAAAGCCCGCGCUGGAGGAUGAGCCUGCGGCCCAUCAGGUAGUUGGCGGAGUAACAGCCCACCAAGCCUAAGACGGGUAGCUGGUCUGAGAGGAUGAACAGCCACACUGGAACUGAGACACGGUCCAGACUCCUACGGGAGGCAGCAGUCGGGAAUCUUCCGCAAUGGGCGAAAGCCUGACGGAGCGACGCCGCGUGAGCGAUGAAGGCCUUC
This 410-nucleotide ribosomal RNA is filed under the name uncultured delta proteobacterium. RNAcentral describes it as "bacterial SSU rRNA". It matches the Rfam family "Bacterial small subunit ribosomal RNA", at positions 9 to 419 of the family's 1533-position model. The record is from RNAcentral. Lineage: Bacteria; Deltaproteobacteria.